The sequence is a ribosomal RNA, 729 nucleotides long. It matches the Rfam family "Eukaryotic large subunit ribosomal RNA", at positions 53 to 620 of the family's 3401-position model.
GAGGAAAAGAAACUAACAAGGAUUCCCCUAGUAACGGCGAGUGAAGCGGGAAGAGCUCAAGCUUAAAAUCUCCGUGCAAGUUUUGUGCGGCGAAUUGUAGUCUAUAGAAGCGUGGUCAGCAUGGGCACUUGGGGCAAGUUCCUUGGAAGAGGACAGCAUGGAGGGUGAUACUCCCGUUCAUUUCUGAGUUGCUCGUGCGUACGACCCGUUUUCUUGAGUCGCGUUGUUUGGGAAUGCAGCGCAAAGUAGGUGGUAAAUUCCAUCUAAAGCUAAAUAUUGGUGCGAGACCGAUAGCGAACAAGUACCGUGAGGGAAAGAUGAAAAGAACUUUGAAAAGAGAGUUAAAGAGUACCUGAAACUGCUGAAAGGGAACCGAAUCGUUUCCAGUGUCUAUAAUCCGUGGUAUAUUUCAUUGGCGAGUGUGUGCGUGCGUGUGCUGUGGCAGCGGCUUUUUUGGCUGCGCUCGGCGUGUGUGCUGUGUGUGCUUGCUGGUGCUCUGUGCUGCGGUGGGACGUCAAGGUCAGUUCGUAUGCUGCGGGAAAUGGCUGCCGAGGAGGUAGGGCUUACGCUUGCGUUUGUCUGUUAUAUCUUGGUGGACGAGUAGUCGCGGUUGGGACUGAGGUGCCUACAACGUGCUUUUGAGUGGGUUUGUGUCUCCGUGUGCGCCGUGUGCGGAUAGCUUGCUAUGCGUGUGUGGUUGUGUGUGGAUUGAUGCGAGCUUUAACUUGU